This 491-nucleotide ribosomal RNA is filed under the name uncultured Glomus. RNAcentral's name for it is "SSU rRNA". It matches the Rfam family "Eukaryotic small subunit ribosomal RNA", at positions 579 to 1074 of the family's 1831-position model. Lineage: Eukaryota; Fungi; Glomeromycota; Glomeromycetes; Glomerales; Glomeraceae. The record is from RNAcentral.
GUAAUUCCAGCUCCAAUAGCGUAUAUUAAAGUUGUUGCAGUUAAAAAGCUCGUAGUUGAAUUUCGGGGUCAGUAGGUCGGUCGUGCCACUGGUAUGAACUGGUUUUACUGAUUCCUCCCUCUUGAAGAACUGUAAUGCCAUUAAUUUGUUGUUGCAGGGAAUCAGGACUGUUACUUUGAAAAAAUUAGAGUGUUUAAAGCAGGCUUUAGCUUGAAUACAUUAGCAUGGAAUAAUGAAAUAGGACGUUUGAUCCUAUUUUGUUGGUUUCUAGGAUUGACGUAAUGAUUAAUAGGGAUAGUUGGGGGCAUUAGUAUUCAAUUGUCAGAGGUGAAAUUCUUGGAUUUAUUGAAGACUAACUACUGCGAAAGCAUUUGCCAAGGAUGUUUUCAUUAAUCAAGAACGAAAGUUAGGGGAUCGAAGACGAUCAGAUACCGUCGUAGUCUUAACCAUAAACUAUGCCGACUAGGGAUCGGAUGAUGUUAAUUUUUUAA